UUAAUAAAUCACGCAAAUCCUUUGUGGCCAAAUUGGGUGACGGAAAGUGCGGUUUCUUGGGGGUAAGGGCCCCCCAGAAAAGCUGGAGAAACAACAUCAGGGUGAGUAAGGCCCUCACCGUUAUGGACAUUGAAUCUCAUGUCCGAGCCGGGCUUCCCCGUGGUGAAGUGAUCGAGAGAUGCGAAGAUCAGGACGAGGGUAAGGGGCCCCCGCCGUUAUGGACCUUGCUCUCUUUUGCCGGUGUGUGCUUCACCGUGGGCGAAGUGUGGCCGUGUGGACACCACUUUCCGUCCCGCUUUCUUUAUUUCUUCUUGAAUGUAUAAAAUUAUUUACAAGUUGAUAAAAACAG
Paramuricea clavata is the source of this 349-nucleotide non-coding RNA. The record is from the annotation of a GenBank genome assembly. Lineage: Eukaryota; Metazoa; Cnidaria; Anthozoa; Malacalcyonacea; Plexauridae.